CGGGGUGAGUAACGCGUGGAUAACCUGCCUCACACUGGGGGAUAACAGUUAGAAAUGACUGCCAAUACCGCAUGAGCGCACAGUACCGCAUGGUACGGUGUGAAAAACUCCGGUGGUGUGAGAUGGAUCCGCGUCUGAUUAGCCAGUUGGCGGGGUAACGGCCCACCAAAGCGACGAUCAGUAGCCGACCUGAGAGGGUGACCGGCCACAUUGGGACUGAGACACGGCCCAA
RNAcentral lists this ribosomal RNA (232 nucleotides) under uncultured bacterium. RNAcentral's name for it is "partial 16S ribosomal RNA". It matches the Rfam family "Bacterial small subunit ribosomal RNA", at positions 104 to 334 of the family's 1533-position model. The record is from RNAcentral.